GAGAGAGGCUCGCAAGCAACGAAGACUGCUAACUUUCGCAACCUCGGUUGAACCCCGAGGCUCACUCA
Molecule: transfer RNA, 68 nt
Filed under: Bufoceratias thele
Lineage: Eukaryota; Metazoa; Chordata; Actinopteri; Lophiiformes; Diceratiidae
Also listed under: 1 other name
Description: tRNA-Ser
Source: RNAcentral